Molecule: unclassified non-coding RNA, 280 nt
Filed under: Hevea brasiliensis (rubber tree)
Lineage: Eukaryota; Viridiplantae; Streptophyta; Magnoliopsida; Malpighiales; Euphorbiaceae
Source: RNAcentral
UCCUUUUUUUUUUUUUUUUUCAUUUUCCUUUUUUCCCCCUACUUUUGAAGCAAAGGACUGAUUUUUGUAACUUUUCCAGCAAUGGAAAAUAGAUGCUAGAGACAAAUUGAUGGCAAUAAAAUUUUCUAGAGAAUAGAAUUCUGAGAUAUGGAGUAUGCAGAUAAGGGAAUUUUCAGAUGGCAAUGACCAUGCUCCAUGUCUUGAACAAAUAUGGCAUAAUAUGUAGAAUUGUAUUCCAAGUUCUGUUUAUUAAAAAUCAGAUGCUUAGAUUCAAAUUUUG